UACGUAGGCAGCGAGCGUUGUUCGGAAUUACUGGGCGUAAAGAGUGUGUAGGCGGUGCUCUAAGUUCGGUGUGAAAUCUCCCGGCUUAACUGGGAGGGUGCGCCGGAAACUGGAGUGCUCGAGCGUGGGAGAGGAAAGCGGAAUUCCUGGUGUAGCGGUGAAAUGCGUAGAUAUCAGGAGGAACACCUGUGGUGUAGACGGCUUUCUGGACCAAAGCUGACGCUGAGACACGAAAGCGUGGGUAGCAAACAGG
Molecule: ribosomal RNA, 253 nt
Filed under: uncultured bacterium
Lineage: Bacteria
Description: partial 16S ribosomal RNA
Rfam family: Bacterial small subunit ribosomal RNA
Source: RNAcentral